GAUAUAUGACGAGCUUCGAUAUCGAGCGAGCGGCGGACGGGUGUGUAAUGCGUAGGAAGCUGCCCGAUAGAGGGGGAUACCAGUUGGAAACGACUGUUAAUACCGCAUAAUGUCUACGGACCAAAGUGUGGGACCUUCGGGCCACAUGCUAUCGGAUGCGCCUACGUGGGAUUAGCUAGUUGGGGAGGUAAUGGCUCACCAAGGCGACGAUCUCUAGCUGGUUUGAGAGGAUGAUCAGCCACACUGGAACUGAGCCACGGUCCAAACUAAUACGGGAGGCAGCAGUGGGGAAUAUUGGACAAUGGGCGCAAGCCUGAUCCAGCCAUGCCGCGUGUGUGAAGAAGGCCUUCGGGUUGUAAAGCACUUUCAGCGAGGAGGAAGGGAUGUAUGUUAAUAGCAUGCAUUUUUGACGUUUACUCGCAGAAGAAGCACCGGCUAACUCUGUGCCAGCAGCCGCGGUAAUACAGAGGGUGCAAGCGUUAAUCGGAAUUACUGGGCGUAAAGCGCACGUAGGCGGUUAGUUAAGUUGGAUGUGAAAGCCCCGGGCUCAACCUGGGAAUUGCAUUCAAAACUGGCUAACUAGAGUAUGUGAGAGGGGGGGUAGAAUUCCAAGUGUAGCGGUGAAAUGCGUAGAGAUUUGGAGGAAUACCAGUGGCGAAGGCGGGCCCCUGGCACAAAUACUGACGCUGAGGUGCGAAAGCGUGGGGGAGCAAACAGGAUUAGAUACCCUGGUAGUCCACGCCGUAAAACGAUGUCUACUAGCUGUUCGUGGUCUUGGACCUGUGAGUAGCGCACCUAACGCACUAAGUAGACCGCCUGGGGGAGUACGGUCGCAAGAUUAAAACUCCAAUGGAUUUGAGGGGGGGCCCGCACAAGCGGGUGGGAGCAUGGGG
Molecule: ribosomal RNA, 893 nt
Filed under: Rheinheimera sp. a96
Lineage: Bacteria; Pseudomonadati; Pseudomonadota; Gammaproteobacteria; Chromatiales; Chromatiaceae
Description: bacterial SSU rRNA
Rfam family: Bacterial small subunit ribosomal RNA
Source: RNAcentral